This 396-nucleotide ribosomal RNA is filed under the name Triticum aestivum (bread wheat). RNAcentral describes it as "partial small subunit ribosomal RNA". Lineage: Eukaryota; Viridiplantae; Streptophyta; Magnoliopsida; Poales; Poaceae. The record is from RNAcentral.
AUGGCUCCUACCGAGGCUGAGGAUGAUGUAGAGGAGGGAGAAGAGAAGAAGAAGAGGGAAAGGAAGGCAGCCGGAGCUGCUUUCACGUGGAUUCAAAAUAACUUUGCGACGUGCCCUCCGGAUGCAACUGAUGAUGUGAUCCAGACACAUGCUCGUGUGUAUAUGUGGUACAUUGUGUCGAGGACUUUGUUUCCUGACUCCACUGGCAAGAACGCUCCAUGGAUGUGGCUGAAGGCGUUGACCAUCUUCGAUAGCAAAUGGAGCUGGGGUUCAGCGACUCUUGCCUACUUGUACCGACAGGUAGUUGGUCUGUUUUGUGAUCAACUCAUUUAUUCAUUAGCAAUGCAAGCUUGCUGUCAAGUUAACAGUGUUUUUCUUUCAUAUGUAGCUGGAUGA